Molecule: ribosomal RNA, 301 nt
Filed under: uncultured bacterium
Lineage: Bacteria
Description: partial 16S ribosomal RNA
Rfam family: Bacterial small subunit ribosomal RNA
Source: RNAcentral
CAGCAGCCGCGGUAACACGUAGGGUGCAAGCGUUAUCCGGAAUUAUUGGGCGUAAAGAGCUCGUAGGCGGUUUGUCGCGUCUGCUGUGAAAACUGGAGGCUCAACCUCCAGCCUGCAGUGGGUACGGGCAGACUAGAGUGCGGUAGGGGAGAUUGGAAUUCCUGGUGUAGCGGUGGAAUGCGCAGAUAUCAGGAGGAACACCGAUGGCGAAGGCAGAUCUCUGGGCCGUAACUGACGCUGAGGAGCGAAAGCGUGGGGAGCGAACAGGAUUAGAUACCCGGGUAGUCCCUGUCUCUUAUAA